Molecule: long non-coding RNA, 710 nt
Organism: Vombatus ursinus (common wombat)
Lineage: Eukaryota; Metazoa; Chordata; Mammalia; Diprotodontia; Vombatidae
Exons: 4
Source: RefSeq, a predicted model, not a curated record
CCUUAGCACCAAGUGGUUGGAUUGUGAACCUAUCUUGUUGUUGUUGUCGUUGUUGUUUACGAGCCUCGUAUUUAGGUCCACUGCCGAGAUCAAGAUCACUUAAAUCGACUCAAACGUCUAUUUCCAAGGAAAUUUCAAGUCAGCUGUCAGUGUUGAUUGGGCAGAAAGGUAUAAUACUAGAAGAGGAAAAUUGAGCAAAACCAGUGUACCACUGAAGACUCCUUUUGUUUCUGCUGGGGUUUGGAGGCAUCUCCAGCAGGCACUUCCAAGAAAGAUUUCAGGCCAUUAAUCAGAAGCGCCUACGUGCAGGGGAAUCCAGUGGAGCAUAAAUCCUGCAGGCGGGCGUUCAAUUUCAGUGAGAGAGGUGACGGUCUACACCAGCCGCAGCACUGCUGAAUUUGGAGCCUGAAUCUAGUCCUGGCUUUGCUUACUACCUGAGUCAUCUCAGGCAAGUCCCUUCACUUUUCUGAGCCUCAAGUUUCCUCAUCUGUAAAAAGGAGGGGGCUGAGCUAGGUGACCGUUGAGGAUCUUUCCAAGCUUGAAAUUCAUGAUCCUGCCAUACUACUGAGUUGUUAUGGCAGCAUGAUGGAUUUCAACUGAUCCAUCCUCACACUUCCAUCAUGAAAGAGAACAAAUAAUUCUGGCCAUUCUAUCAUUAUGUUAUCCCUUCCUGAAAUGCAUAGGGCACCCCCUCUAGCCUCUCUCUUCCU